Etheostoma spectabile (orangethroat darter) is the source of this 154-nucleotide long non-coding RNA. RefSeq lists it as uncharacterized. NCBI's taxonomy places the organism in Eukaryota, Metazoa, Chordata, Actinopteri, Perciformes, Percidae. The record is from RefSeq and is a predicted model, not a curated record. The transcript is spliced from 3 exons.
UCUGUUCUCUUUCAGGUUGUUUGGUGUUUUAAUCCCCCAUUUCACCUUCCAGGCAGCGUUGCCUGGAAGACACUGGGAUUAGGCAAGGGUUAGGGUGAGGUGUCUAGUAGUCAACGGUUGCAGUGAUGCCUGGACAUUGCUGUUGGGGGCUUAA